UCCGUAGGCGGGUAAUUAAGUCAGAGGUGAAAUCCCACAGCUCAACUGUGGAACUGCCUUAGAUACUGGUUAUCUUGAGUUUUAGUGAAGUAGAUAGAAUGUGUAGUGUAGCGGUGAAAUGCAUAGAUAUUACACAGAAUACCGAUUGCGAAGGCAGUCUACUAACUAACAACUGACGCUAAUGGACGAAAGCGUGGGGAGCGAACAGGAUUAGAUACCCUGGUAGUC
RNAcentral lists this ribosomal RNA (228 nucleotides) under uncultured bacterium. RNAcentral describes it as "partial 16S ribosomal RNA". It matches the Rfam family "Bacterial small subunit ribosomal RNA", at positions 568 to 795 of the family's 1533-position model. The record is from RNAcentral.